GAUGAACGCUGGCGGCGUGCCUAAUACAUGCAAGUUGAGCGCUGAAGGUUGGUACUUGUACCAACUGGAUUAGCAGCGAACGGGUGAGUAACGCGUGGGUAAUCUGCCUUUGAGCGUGGGACAACAUCUGGAAACGAAUGCUAAUACCGCAUAAAAACUUUAAACACAAGUUUUAAGAUUGAAAGAUGCAAUUGCAUCACUCAAUGAUUAUACCCCGUUUUAUUAGCCAGUUGGUGAGGUAAAGGCUCACCAAAGCGAAGAUACAUUAGCCUCCUGGGAGGGUGAUCGGGCAACAUGGGACUGGGACAAGGCCCAAACCCCUAAGGGGGGCAGCAGUAGGGAAUCUUCGGCAAUGGACGAAAGGCUGACCGAGGAACGCCGGGGGGGGGGAGAAGGGUCUCGGAACGUAAAAACCUGUUGGUUAGGAAGAACGUUAGGGGGAGUUGAAAGCUCAUAAAGUGACGGUAACUAACCAGAAAGGGACGGCUAACUACGUG
This 497-nucleotide ribosomal RNA is filed under the name uncultured bacterium. Its description in RNAcentral is "partial 16S ribosomal RNA". It matches the Rfam family "Bacterial small subunit ribosomal RNA", at positions 28 to 507 of the family's 1533-position model. The record is from RNAcentral.